UACGGAGGAGGCAAGCGUUGUCCGGAAUUAUUGGGCGUAAAGAGCUUGUAGGCGGUCUGUCGCGUCUGCUGUGAAAAUCCGGGGCUCAACCCCGGACUUGCAGUGGGUACGGGCAGACUAGAGUGUGGUAGGGGAGACUGGAAUUCCUGGUGUAGCGGUGAAAUGCGCAGAUAUCAGGAGGAACACCGAUGGCGAAGGCAGGUCUCUGGGCCACUACUGACGCUGAGAAGCGAAAGCAUGGGGAGCGAACAGG
RNAcentral lists this ribosomal RNA (253 nucleotides) under uncultured bacterium. RNAcentral describes it as "partial 16S ribosomal RNA". It matches the Rfam family "Bacterial small subunit ribosomal RNA", at positions 524 to 776 of the family's 1533-position model. The record is from RNAcentral.